AGAAUCAGAGCAGGUGGUCAGUCCUGUUAGAAUCAGAGCAGGUGGUCAGUCCUGUUAGAAUCAGAGCAGGUGGUCAGUCCUGUUAGAAUCAGAGCAGGUGGUCAGUCCUGUUAGGGUUAGAAUCAGAGCAGGUGGUCAGUCCUGUUAGAAUCAGAGCAGGUGGUCAGUCCUGUUAGGGUUAGAAUCAGAGCAGGUGGUCAGUCCUGUUAGGGUUAGAAUCAGAGCAGGUGGUCAGUCCUGUUAGGGUUAGAAUCAGAGCGGGUGGUCAGUCCUGUUAGGGUUAGAAUCAGAGCAGGUGGUCAGUCCUGUUAGGGUUAGAAUCAGAGCAGGUGGUCAGUCCUGUUAGAAUCAGAGCAGGUGGUCAGUCCUGUUAGAAUCAGUGCAGGUGGUCAGUCCUGUUAGAAUCAGAGCGGGUGGUCAGUCCUGUUAGAAUCAGAGCGGGUGGUCAGUCCUGUUAGGGUUAGAAUCAGAGCAGGUGGUCAGUCCUGUUAGAAUCAGAGCGGGUGGUCAGUCCUGUUAGGGUUAGAAUCAGAGCAGGUGGUCAGUCCUGUUAGGGUUAGAAUCAGAGCAGGUGGUCAGUCCUGUUAGAAUCAGAGCAGGUGGUCAGUCCUGUUAGGGUUAGAAUCAGAGCAGGUGGUCAGUCCUGUUAGGGUUAGAAUCAGAGCAGGUGGUCAGUCCUGUUAGGGUUAGAAUCAGAGCAGGUGGUCAGUCCUGUUAGGGUUAGAAUCAGAGCAGGUGGUCAGUCCUGUUAGGGUUAGAAUCAGAGCAGGUGGUCAGUCCUGUUAGGGUUAGAAUCAGAGCAGGUGGUCAGUCCUGUUAGAAUCAGAGCAGGUGGUCAGUCCUGUUAGGGUUAGAAUCAGAGCAGGUGGUCAGUCCUGUUAGAAUCAGAGCAGGUGGUCAGUCCUGUUAGAAUCAGAGCGGGUGGUCAGUCCUGUUAGAAUCAGAGCGGGUGGUCAGUCCUGUUAGGGUUAGAAUCAGAGCAGGUGGUCAGUCCUGUUAGGGUUAGAAUCAGAGCAGGUGGUCAGUCCUGUUAGAAUCAGAGCAGGUGGUCAGUCCUGUUAGAAUCAGA
This is a long non-coding RNA of Oncorhynchus keta (chum salmon), 1069 nucleotides long. RefSeq lists it as uncharacterized. The transcript is spliced from 6 exons. Lineage: Eukaryota; Metazoa; Chordata; Actinopteri; Salmoniformes; Salmonidae. The record is from RefSeq and is a predicted model, not a curated record.